Non-coding RNA from Oryza sativa Japonica Group (Japanese rice), 413 nucleotides. NCBI's taxonomy places the organism in Eukaryota, Viridiplantae, Streptophyta, Magnoliopsida, Poales, Poaceae. The record is from RefSeq and is a predicted model, not a curated record.
AGAAGGCCGACGAGCCCCGGGCGGCGGCGUGGCGGCACAUGUGGCAGAUGAAGUAGUGGAUGGAGACGGACGCCACCAUCUCGUCCCAUGUCCUCCACCUCCGUCGUCGGCCACCAUCGGCACCCUCCUCUCCGGCGACGGCGGCGGAAUCACAGCCGAAGACGACAUCAAUUCCUCCGGUUCUUGAAUCUCCUCCUCUCUCGCUGCGUUCUUGCGUUCUUGGUGGUGAAGAGGAAGGGACAGGGAGGAACUGAGAAGUUCAGAAAUGAAAAAGGGAAAUGUAGGUUGGUUGUGAGAUGAUGAGUUCUUCAGACCUUUGUUUGCCUGAGAAUGGUAGUUGUCUGCUUUGAUGAAGCUGUAACCUAAGGUUUCAGCAAGGAGUGCUACUACUGUCCUGCGAAUUCACAGUGAAA